CUUGUUUUCAGGGGAGUACAUGCCUGGAAUGUUAGCAAGCUAUUUGCUGGAAAAAAUGCCCACAACAGGCCUAAUGUUGAUCACAUUAAUGCGUUUGAGUGAGUAUGGAGUGCAAAUGAUUGAAAAUGCUUCCAGAUCCCCGUUGCAAGGGACAAAGCAGGCUCUGUUCUCUGAUCUGAUGGUCAUUUUUUUUUCCAGCGGAGGAUGUGGGGCAGGAAGAGGGAAGAGGGCCAAUCUCUGUCUAAUGGUUCCAAACAGGGCCCGGGCCCGGCCCUCUGGAUGCUGACGAGUGGGAAAUGAAACACAGAUGGGUCAGAUGGGUAAGGAGAGGGGGAUUACAGGUCAGGCCAAAGAGUUGGAAUAAAUUAAGUGCUUAUGAGGUACAGAAUGGCACAUUGUUUAAGUGAAUGGACAGGGAAAAAACAUUCCAGCAUUGUUCAUCCGCCGAGGGAGCCCAACGCUCCUCUUCCCAGACGAGCCCAGGCCACAGAGCGCCUCCUCCUCGCCAGGAUGUUUGUGACCCACAGACUGAAAACGCGGCCAGGCGGUGCCCGAAACAUUCUCCCAGCCUCCAAAGAGGCCAGUUUGGCUUUAUUACACGGGAGAUGUAAUUUAUUGGGAGAAAUGUUUGGGUUCGUGUGUCGGAUGGUGGAGAGUCAGAUUUGGAGUUCCCUGGGGAUCUCCGAGGAGAAGGAGAAUUCAGGCAAAGCUGUCCAUUCGGUUGGUAACGACACAAGCAGGAGAAUAGGACGGAAAUCCAAUUCUUCUGCUCCCCGGGGUGUGACUCUCAUACUGCAUCGCACAGCUUUCAUUUCGUGAAGAACUUGUGGAAGCAGAUGUUCACAAAGCAACUGACCAGGCCAGGUGUGUCCUUCAAGGCUACCUGCAUUCAACAGAGGCGACCACAGCCCAGACCCAUCCUUCUUGGGAGAGUUUCAAGAUGCUCCACAUAGUGGUGCCUAGCGCUCUGUGCACUCAGAGGCUAGAAGAAAAGAUACAGAGGUCCUCUUUCAAGGAGAGGCCCUGACGUUUCUAUUCUUACAAGGAUUCUUUGGUAAUAAAUACAGUGAAAACACCGUCA
This 1081-nucleotide long non-coding RNA is filed under the name Sus scrofa (pig). RNAcentral describes it as "lncRNA (ENSSSCG00030054842.1)". The record is from RNAcentral. Lineage: Eukaryota; Metazoa; Chordata; Mammalia; Artiodactyla; Suidae.